Molecule: ribosomal RNA, 253 nt
Filed under: uncultured bacterium
Lineage: Bacteria
Description: partial 16S ribosomal RNA
Rfam family: Bacterial small subunit ribosomal RNA
Source: RNAcentral
UACGAAGGUCCCGAGCGUUAUCCGGAUUUAUUGGGGUUAAAGGGUGCGUAGGCGGGUUAUUAAGUCAGUGGUGAAAGCCUACAGCUUAACUGUAGAAUUGCCAUUGAUACUGAUGAUCUUGAGUAUGAUUGAGGUGGGCGGAAUGUGUCAUGUAGCGGUGAAAUGCUUAGAUAUGACACAGAACACCGAUUGCGAAGGCAGCUCACUAAGUCAUAACUGACGCUGAUGCACGAAAGCGUGGGGAGCAAACAGG